UCCGUAACGGUUCACUUCACUCCACAGCGCAGGCACCGAAACGCCCCCACUACUGCCGCUCGCCAUCUUGGAGGAGGCGGGGCCGGGCAACCUCUGCCCCGGAACAGGAUGCCCAAGUAGGCCGAGCGGAGGAGGAAGCUGGCGGUGGCUCAGCGUGCAGUGGAAAUUAACAAAGAAUGUGCUUCAACAUAAUAAGAAGGAAACCAAAAGAGGGGAACACAUGGGACCUAGGAAACUGGAGAUCUAAGACUAAAGAAAAGCAAAACGUAUCUCCAAAAUGACACUGGAGGCAGAUCCUAGGACAGCAGUGGUGCAGAAGGCCUAGAGAAGCCAAUCUAUUGGUGUCAGAGGUCUCAGUGACCAAGAUCAGAAGUUGAUCCCAUCAGUACUACAACCCUGCACUGGCUUUCUGAUUUCAGAAGCAACUGGAAAAGAAAAAUGUGGAUAUGAAAAAGAAGACAAAAAUGAGUAAAUAUAGGAAUAAAAUCAUAACAAUCAAUUUACAGAGGUAUAGCUUAUAGUAAAAUUACUUCCAGACAGAAUAUUUUCUUUCUUAAUAUACCCCAAUUUGAAAGACAAACAAUAAAAUAGUAGGCGAUUUUUAAA
This is a non-coding RNA of Heterocephalus glaber (naked mole-rat), 606 nucleotides long. Lineage: Eukaryota; Metazoa; Chordata; Mammalia; Rodentia; Bathyergidae. The record is from RefSeq and is a predicted model, not a curated record.